This is a long non-coding RNA of Numida meleagris (helmeted guineafowl), 403 nucleotides long. RefSeq lists it as uncharacterized. The transcript is spliced from 3 exons. The record is from RefSeq and is a predicted model, not a curated record. NCBI's taxonomy places the organism in Eukaryota, Metazoa, Chordata, Aves, Galliformes, Numididae.
UAGGUGACAGAGAACCCUGAGAUAACAGCCACUAGACUGAAAUGUAUGGAGGCUGUGAGCAGAUGAUUUUCAGAGCAUCAUCCUUUGAUUACAGAACUCAAGCCUAAGGUCGUUUCAUCACAAUGCUGUAGACAAGCUCAAAGUCAGGGAUUUUACUGUAAGCACACUUUCCAACACCACCUUUCUGGGAUUUACCACUUUAAUUAGCAGAAGGCUGAGUUCAUAAGAAGACAUGAAGUAAGCUGGUGCUCUUUUGAAUUGGCUCCUCGACUUCAUGCAGCUGGUGCUCUCUGGUCACAUAAGAAAUAUGAAUUCCUGAAUCCACUCAUAACACCUGGAAAGAAUGAUGGAGGAAGGAGAACUAUGUCAGAUCUAAUAACAACAACAACAAAAAAAACAGGGC